This 70-nucleotide transfer RNA is filed under the name Mongolotettix japonicus. Its description in RNAcentral is "tRNA-Tyr". It matches the Rfam family "tRNA". From Rfam's summary of the family: Transfer RNA (tRNA) molecules are approximately 80 nucleotides in length. Their secondary structure includes four short double-helical elements and three loops (D, anti-codon, and T loops). The record is from RNAcentral. Lineage: Eukaryota; Metazoa; Arthropoda; Insecta; Orthoptera; Acrididae.
GGUGAGAUGUCUGAAUUUAUAGGUGAUAGACUGUAAAUCUAUUUAUGGGAAUGUAUUCUCUCUCUCACCA